Molecule: unclassified non-coding RNA, 231 nt
Filed under: plant metagenome
Description: partial contains small subunit ribosomal RNA and internal transcribed spacer 1
Rfam family: Eukaryotic small subunit ribosomal RNA (bases 1-47)
Source: RNAcentral
AAUGUCGUAACAAGGUUUCCGUAGGUGAACCUGCGGAAGGAUCAUUAGAAAGGUCUGUUCGCCGUGAGACGCGCGCGAACCUACCUUCAAACCACUGUGAAACCACUUGUUGUUCGCGGCAGUCCUCCGCCCCGGGCGGAAGGGCCGUCAGUCCGCAGAGCCCAACCAAAAAAGCUUCUUUGUAAGUCUGUCGAGAAAAAAAAUCAUGAAUUAAAACUUCGUUAAAAACCU